RNAcentral lists this ribosomal RNA (406 nucleotides) under uncultured Cryptophyta. RNAcentral describes it as "SSU rRNA". It matches the Rfam family "Bacterial small subunit ribosomal RNA", at positions 355 to 776 of the family's 1533-position model. Lineage: Eukaryota; Cryptophyceae. The record is from RNAcentral.
UAGGGAAUUUUCCGCAAUGGGCGAAAGCCUGACGGAGCAAUACCGCGUGAGGGAUGACGGCCUGUGGGUUGUAAACCUCUUUUCUCAAGGAAGAAGUUCUGACGGUACUUGAGGAAUAAGCAUCGGCUAACUCUGUGCCAGCAGCCGCGGUAAUACAGAGGAUGCAAGCGUUAUCCGGAAUCACUGGGCAUAAAGCGUCUGUAGGUGGUUUGGUAAGUCUGCUGUUAAAGACUGGGGCUCAACCCCAGAAAAGCAGUGGAAACUGCCAGACUUGAGUGUGGUAGAGGUAAAGGGAAUUCCUAGUGUAGCGGUGAAAUGCGUAGAUAUUAGGAAGAACACCAAUGGCGAAGGCACUUUACUGGGCCAUAACUGACACUGAGAGACGACAGCUAGGGGAGCAAAUGGG